This 45-nucleotide non-coding RNA is filed under the name Schistosoma margrebowiei. The record is from RNAcentral. Lineage: Eukaryota; Metazoa; Platyhelminthes; Trematoda; Strigeidida; Schistosomatidae.
GUCCAACUGAUGAGUGCUGGAUAGGAUGAAACGCGCGUCGUGGAU